Long non-coding RNA from Lates calcarifer (barramundi perch), 8155 nucleotides. RefSeq lists it as uncharacterized. The transcript has 3 exons. Lineage: Eukaryota; Metazoa; Chordata; Actinopteri; Centropomidae. The record is from RefSeq and is a predicted model, not a curated record.
GUGGGGGGGUUGGAGCCUAUCCCAGUUGACACUGGGCAAAGGCGGGGUACACCCUUUACAGAUCGUCAGUCCAUCGCAGGGCCAACAUAUACAUAACAACCAUUCACACUCACUCACUCACUCCACACAGAAAAGCCAGAACUUUCUUGCUGCAAGGCAACAGUGCUAACCACUGCACCACCAUGCUGCCCUUCCCUCAUUAUGUUAAAAGAAACAUUAUUUUUCCUUUGAAACAUACUUCCUGUUGUGAAUUAGCUUAAUGUUAAUAUCAUUUAUAUAUUUCAGGGUUGAAUGGACACGUUAUCAUUAACAAACACCCAGGCCUACAUGUAGGAAAAAAGUUUCAAAAUGUAAAAAAUAUAACAGUGUCUAAUGAUAAAUUAAUUAAUACGUAGGUUAAAUACUGAUAGCAAUGCUAACAUGUCACAACUGGCUCUGACCAAUCAGUUUCUAACAAUGAUUUCAGACCAGUCCUUAUUACACAUUCACCUAGUAGAUACUGUUUAAUUUUACAGGGUCACAUACAAAAGUGACUGGAAAACAACCUGCCAAGGAAAUACAUGUAGCCAUUCCACAAUGACUCAAUAUUAGAUUAAAUUACAUGUUAUGAUUGCCUUUGUUUGUAAUGUAUGGCUUCAAUCAGUGGGACAGUGAAUGCAGCAAUAGUCAAACUAAUCAUUCUAAUAUAUUUUUCAUUGUGCUGUGUGAAAUAAUCUUGAUAUUAAAACAUCAUAUGUCACUUUUCAUUUGAUCUAGAUGCAUCUAAGCAUUGGGCAAGCAGUCAAAUUACUGUAAUUACAUAAUUAGCAUGAAGGCCAUAACUUCUGGACACCAACCACAUGCUUUUCAGUGUCUCCUCCACAUAGUGAUCUAUGAUGACACACCCUCAUUUAUACUACAGUUUGGAAAAAUAUUUCCAGUGAUUGGAACUAAAACUAUAGCUAAACUAGGACAGUGGAGGAAAGGCCAGCUUGUGGAUCGACCCAGAAUGCCCUGGUGUUCCUCCCUACGCACAGUUAAGUCCCUUGACUACACCUACGCACUUUGUGACCUCUCUGCUCAGUGGACAUCAUCAGGCAGAUUAAAAUCAGUUAAUGUACUUGGGGCUAGUUGACUCUCUCUCUCUCUCUCUCUCUCUCUCUCUCACUCACUCUCUCUCUCUCUCUCACACACACACACCAGCCAUUUGUCACUCACUUUUUAAAAUUAAUACCCAUUGUUUUUGCUAAGCAGAGGAUGUCCCAGAGGCUGCCUCACAGGGUUGUGUGUGUAGUGUGUGUGUAUGAGCUGCACAUUAGAUUCACUGAAGAGAAGGUUUCAGUGGAUUACUACAGCCCCAAAGUGCUGUGCCCUUUCAUUAACCUUGCGUUUUAGUCGUCUCAUUUAAUACAAAACAAAUUUCUAAUCUGCAGCCUGCUAAACAAUUCUGCAGCUCAUUCUGUGGCUUUGUGUAUAAGUGUGUAUGUGUGUGUGUGUUACUGUUAGUCUUAUUGCCUUGGGUUCCCUCUGCCUAGCCCCCUAAUUACUCCCCGAAACAGGCAGCCUGGCUCCUCCUAUGUGCUAUCAUCAUUUUAAAUUUAUUUUGAUUGAUUUGUGUCAGCUUUAACUAUGCUUUGGGCUGAGGUCGAUAAAUAAAGAUCAAUACUUUAAUGUUUUCCUCUGAACCUUUAUUAAAAAAUAGAUUGGCUAUAAAGAGGGCUGAAUUACGAGGAGGAGUGCCUACUUCCAAUGCAUGUCAACUGGAAUCUAAUUGAACAACACAGAACCAAUGGAGAUUAGUCCAGGGAAUGUGAGCUGCAGGAGGCCCCGAGUGUUAGAGAGAGAGGAGAGAGUAGGAAUGAGGAAUUGAUGCCGGGAGGUGAAAGAGAGAAAAAAGAAAAGCAGGCGAGUUGUUGGGUCUAGCUGAGAACAACUUGAGAUGUGCUUCUCCUCUGAUUUCUUCAUAUUCAUUUAAGGAAAGCGAUUGCACUGUGGGCAGUGGUCACUCUUCCACUGCUUUAUAACAUUCAAGGAUUUGCUUUUGUGCAUGAAUAAUAAGAUUAGUUAUUAGGGAAGCUUUCAGCAUAGUAAACAUAGUGUUAUUUGUUGACUGAGACAUGUGUAACAAAUUAUAGGAUAAAUAAGUGGAGAAACACAAUAAAUGCAUAUCAAAAUCAUGUCAGUCAUAAGCUGUGGCCUAGAUCUGAUCAAUAUCACCUUAAAUCAGUAUCAAGACUGAUUGUUAAUUUGGUAACAAGAGUUAAGGAAACAAUAUCUUACUAAGUACACGUGUGCAGGACUAUGUUCUCACAGUGGGCAUGCUAUUAAUUCUCUCUGUUGAGCAAUAACAAUAAAACAAUGGAUUACUUCUUUUGGCAACAUUUAUUUACCAUAUUCGGUACUUAAGAACACUCUGGCUUUUGUGGAUAACUUCCCAUUUUUCAUGUGUAAUGGAAAUAACAAAUGCUUUUGUAAUGGAUUGCUGGCUCUGAAACAGUCUGCUUCAGCACAGGGAAGACUCCUUUAUGGUUCCAGGUUGAAGCUGUAACUAACUUUAGGGUUAACCCACAUCACAGCACUGUGCUGCCGGUAAAGAAAAUACUUUGUUUUUAAUUACUGCAGUACUAUUUGUACAUUUAAUGCUCACUCACUCAGCUAAUUCCAAUGAAAUACCAAGGAGAAACUCUGGAACAGCAUAUGAUACAGUGAUCUCCAAACCAUCUUACCAUCUAAAAAACAAAUACAAAAUCAAAAACAAAUGAAGGAAUAUCUUUUGGAAGAAUGUGGUUCAUUCCUCCACUAGUAGUACUAGUAGUGCUGAAGUUGUUUAAAGGUGCUUUGUGUUGGUUUUUCCUUUAAAAAAAAAAGACCAAUUAGUAAUUUGAUUCUUUGACUGAAAGUAGUGCCUGUUUUGUAAAUAAUUGUUGCUCUACAGCAAGAAAAAAACAUAUUCAGGGUGAAUUCACUGAAAGAAACCAAUACUGACUGGUAGUGACUACAGCCUUAUUAAACUUUUCUAUGAUUAUGUGUAGCUACAGCAUUUAGUUAAAUUAAGGGAAAGUUGUGGUCUUGGUCUAAUAAAUAAGAACUCAAAAGUGACUGGUAGAAGACUCAUUUUACUGUCAUGUACAACAACAGUGCACAGUGAGAUGAAACAGUAUUCCAACAGGACCACAGUGUUACAUAGAACAACAGAACUACAGGAUACUACACAGGACUAACUACAGACCUAGAAUUACAUAAAGUGCAUGUGUGCAAAUAUAUACAAACAGUGCAAGACAGUCCGAAAUUUACAUGAACAGAACAAUAGCAUUGGGUAGGCACACAGUAAAGAACAGUGCAGUACUGUUCAGUACACAAUUCUGGGAGUCAUAUUUAACACAUGGUGCAAAGAGAUAAGACAAUAAAUAAGUAAAACUGAUGUGAAUAUAAGCACAUUAAACUUUGUGAAAAUGUGCAAAAAAGUUCCAAAGGCAGUGGGAUAGUGUUCAGCUGAGUAUGAGUGUGUCAGACACAACGUGCUUAUUUACAUCUAACCAAAACCAAAGUCUUUCCCCAAUGUUAGCCACAGUGCUUUUGAUGCCCAAAUCUAACCAUAGUUGGGAUGCAAACCCCACUCUCUGGUGUGACAGUCAUGAGCUUUGCAUGCCUGCCACCCACCCCAACCACCUCCUUGAAAAUCUGCUGCCAUUAAUAAAUGUGGGGAGAGAAGUUGUCUCUGAACAAAAUCCAGCUAGUAAUUAUCUUUCUCUCAAAAUGUAUUUGUUCUUGCAGUUUAGAUAUAUGUAAAUAUAAUUUCAUGUAACUUCUAGGAGACAGGGUUGCUAGGGGCAAUACUGGAGAACACACACACACACACACACACACACACACACACACAUACACAUACACACAGCAUGCUCUCUUUCAGUUUGUGCUCUACAGCUGUAACUUCAGUCUGUCCAACACUGAGUCCUGUAAGGAUCAGAGUUUUGAGGGCAGGGCAGGAAGUAUGGUGAGGUGAGAUUAAAAUGCUUUUGCUGUUAUUUGUGUCACUGUCAUUGUCAGACAAACAGAAAGAACACACUGUCCUCUGGUGCAUCAACCUUCUUUUCAAUCCACACUGUGAUUAACCUUUUGUACAGGGCACAGAUUAUGGCUUAAAUGUGGUGUGCUUACAUAGACACACAUAAUCAUGGAUGCUGCAUGCUGCUUUUGAGCUCAGUGUUGCCUGUGGUGUCGUGUUGACAGUGUGGGUACAAAGGUACACACUUGGGUAACAUUUAACUUAAACUAUAUUGUAUUAGAAGUAGAAUAUGAAGUCAUUGUAUUAUUUAAAUAGAACAAAGCCCACAUAGCGGCAAUUUAAAAGGUGUGUCCAUUUAGUGCACCUUUAAAGCUGCUCUAAUCAUUAGGUCAUAGGGGUCACUUGUUGUGACAAUACUAAUGCUGCUUUGUGUCUGCUGGAUGUUCAUCAACCAUUUGCUGACAUAAUUGCAACCACAAUUGACCAACAACCAAAACAAGACUAAAAGUAAAUAAAAAGUAAUCUUUAAAAACAAGAACUAGGUGGAAUCUAAUUAAGUAGAAAAAAGUAAAUGAUAACAUGAAGGCACAUCAAAUGUACGUUUUAAUGCAAACCAUACAAAUCAAACAUUGCAGCCUAUGAUCAACAAAACAGUUUCAUAAGCUAGCCAAAAUGGCUUGGACAGAAGAUUAUUUAGCUGCUUGACCUGUGACACUACUUGUUGCACUGCAGGUCACUAAAUUCAUUUACAAACUACUGAGAAUUACACAAGAUGACGCAACAGAACAGCUGUGACAAAUUACAAAACAUGAGGUAAGGUAAUAUAACUAUCAAGUACUGUGGAUGUGGAUGUCACGUUACUUUCCUGUUGCUAUCAUAAGGAAUGAAUAAAUUCCAAGACUAAAGUUGGCAGUAACCAUCUAAAUCAUCCUUUUUAGAUAUUCACUGAAGAAAUAUCACAGUUGAUGUUAUCUGAUGAUACAACGUGUUCCAUUAAACUAAAUCCAAACAAUGAACAGUAUUUUGGUGAACAGGUAAGGGAAUCCAGCUUGUGAAUGCUCUGCAGUGAAUGCCACAGGUAGCUGAAGUACCAUUACGUUAGCAGCAAAUACUAAUCCAGAUAAGAUUAGAGAGAGCGGUUUGGUUCAAACAGAGUCGGAAAUGGUAACUGGAUUUACUGAGGUGAGUCUCUAUAUUACAUGGACACCUACUGAUAGACAGCUGUAAAUGUAUGACUAAAUUGGGACCUGUCAGUCACAAACUAUACUAAAAUGUCUUUAGUUUUGUUGACUUAAACCAGACUAAAACUAAAAAGAAUAAAAAUAUGACUAAAACUAAUAUGCUUUUUCUCCAAAAGGCUAAAACUAUGUGAAAAUUAGGUGCCAAAAUUAACACAGCAGUUGUUACAUUGUACUCACCAAAGUAUUACAGAAUCCGAGAACACUGUGACAUUGCUAAAAAUAGGUCCAAAUGUGUAAGAAACACUAGUAGUGUCACUGCAGUCUGAGAUUGCAGCAGUGACUUCAAUAGAUACAAUGUAAUCAAAACCAAUCAAACUUAGAGCUACAAAACCAAAACACAAACUGUAAAACACUUUCAUAACUAAUGUUUGUAUCACUUUACAAACUAUCAGUCUUAUUUGAUUUGAUUAAUUUGAUGAGAAGUUGUUAGAAAAAUUUAAGCCACAACCUCAGUAAAUUGUCGGUAAAUUACCCUGCUGAGAAGAAAUUAUCUUUCACUGCAGAGAGUCAGGCACAUGAUAAAACCAGAGUAAAAUCUAGUGGAAUAGUACGUCAAUGUGUGUUGAUCCAAGAGAUGCUGAAAAGAUGGCCUGACAUUUUAAUAUUUAUCCUGUUUAUUCCAUAUUUCCUCACCAGACUGCAAUGCAUUUUUACUAAAAACAAGAACAGAAACGUUUUCAGAUAAUCCAAAUAUUCCUGAACAGAAGGUGAAAUCACUGCAGCACUUAUCCUAUAUUUUACCAUACUGUCACUUUUAUUUGAAUACCUGAUGUAUGAAAGCCUAGUUAAAUACAAGGGAUUAAACACAAUAUAAACUUGAUCCAUUUCAGUGACUGGCUCUUAAUCUGUCAUUGUCUCUGUCUCAGGUGGAAGAAUACUGAUGUGUUACCUCCCAGCUCUUCACCACUGCCUGUCUCUGAUCUGCCAUAAGCCCAAUAUGUGAUUGGAGCUCAUACAUAAUGGUGUGUGUGUGUGUGCAUGCGUCUAUAGGAAAGACUGGAUAGCUGAAUCUUGCCAGCACUUACAUGUUCCACUGGUCAAAGUUCCUGAGAUGUGAAAUCCUGUCUGGAACAGAACAUAAAAGGAAGACCUUCAAUUGUGUCCAUCACAGUGGAUACAAGCACACACACACACACAUGCACAGUGGCCAGCAAAAGUUGGUAAUAAGGAAGGAUUAGGUUGGCGAGAGUGUCAGAGGGUAAAUGAGGCUGGCUAUAGUGCAUUUUGUUGUAAUGGUGUCCCAGUUGUCUUGUCAGAAAUCAAUGGGAACCAGGACUCUCUGAAAGCACAAGGAGGUCAAGGCUUCGUCUGCCUAAAUAUUUAAUUCAGAGAACACGUCUGGAGCUUCUAAAGAUGAGCGUGUUGCUUUCCUUUUUUCCUGCCAUGAAUAUUUGUGGACACAAAUACACAUAUUUCACAUUCUUUUUGGGAUUUACUGUAAAUGCACUGCUCACACGCAGGUGGAAACACAAACCAUGCAGGCACAAAUGCGCAUAAAGACACACACAAAGACACACAGUCAUGCUUGGGUGGCACUGCCAGUCCAUCUUGGCUAGGUCAGGGCUGGGUUAAAAUCAAUUCUAAUCAAUUAUUAAGAGCUUGUGUAACUCACAAGUGAUAUAAAAAAGGGAGCGAGUGGGUUGAGCUGAUGGAUAGAGUCCACUCCUUCUGUGGACAACUACAAAAGCCUCCAAAAAUCUGAAAAGAAAAAUCUGAUGAGAGAGCAAACUGAUAUUGUAUUUUUUUUGUUUACUUUGUCACCUGGAUGACAGGAUUUCUGAUUAACUUGGCUGGAUUGGGAGAUGACAAUGAAAGGAGGGAGGAAUGAGUUAGAGACCCUGUCUAAGAGUUUGUAAAAAUAGAGUUAGUGGGAUGGAGAGAAACUUGAAGGCUUAAAAGUGAAAUUAUAUGGUAGUAAUUUAGUCUUCAAGGACACUUGUCCAGGACAGUUGCUUCCUGAUUGUAGCUAUUGGUGUUAUCUUUAUCCUGUACACACACUGUUAGCCCAGAUUUUAUAUCUACUUAAAGAUUUAAUUGCAAUACACUUCUAUGGACAUUGGUGGAUGUGUGAAUUUUAAGUCAAAUUACCUUAAAUUUCUAUGUUUUUGUCAUGCCACACCUUGUUUUCAAAUCCACUGAUCCAGAGAGUCCCUCACAGUUGCAAAGUACUGGACUAUCUGCUUUUAAAACUAUAGGUUCCACACCAGGCUCUUGACUGAGACGACAGGGUUCUUCGAGGUGGGCAGGGAGAGAUGUGGACACAACUGACAAGGACUCAUACAUUCAAACUCCAGUGUGAUUCCUUUGUAUUGAUGAAGAUAGCCCACAGCUGAACCCAUCCAAAGUGGGAAUCGUCUUGGAAGGAAAUCUGGUGAUGGGUGACCUGGCUAGCCUUCCCCAGGCCUUCUGCAUCCUUUUUGGGCUGAGUUAUGUCCUGCACCUGGACUAUCCCGUGUACAUAAAAAAUACUUUCUCUUUGUCCAGUAGGUAUAAAAAUCAGUUGGCACCCAAACUUCAGUCUUUGAAAAAUCAGCUCUCAUUGUAAAGUGGGUUCCUGACUGGUGCAAAUAUCAGGUGCCUGGCUGAAAUGUUGAACUUUUGAUAUGUUGCUGCGUAUGUUUAUACUUUGUAUCAUAUAGAGGGGCACUGAUAUUGUGGUUCAGUUACAUUCAAAAAGAUGUCAGAGGAGUUGUUUAUUCUCGGAAUUGUGAGAAAAUAUUUUUCAUAGACUCCUAAGAAGAUUGUAUAUUCACCCACUUCUAGCAUUGAGAAGUGAACAGUGCCAGUAUUGUGAACUUGGAUAUUGUUAAGAGUUUUUCUGCUACAGUUUGAAGCUUAUAAUUUUGUACACUUUUUUCCACAAAUAAUUUUUAUGUAAUUUGUUGUGAUGUUACUGUGAACAUAUUUAAGUUAAAACAGCUAACAAAGA